This 223-nucleotide ribosomal RNA is filed under the name uncultured Veillonellaceae bacterium. Its description in RNAcentral is "partial 16S ribosomal RNA". It matches the Rfam family "Bacterial small subunit ribosomal RNA", at positions 125 to 334 of the family's 1533-position model. Lineage: Bacteria; Bacillati; Bacillota; Negativicutes; Veillonellales; Veillonellaceae. The record is from RNAcentral.
CCUGCCGACAGGAUGGGGACAACAUUCCGAGAGGAAUGCUAAUACCGAAUGGAGUCCGAGGAUGGCAUCAUCCUCGGAUAAAAGAUGGCCUCUGAAUAUGCUAUCGCCUGUCGAUGGGCCUGCGUCUGAUUAGCCAGUUGGUGGGGUAACGGCCCACCAAAGCGACGAUCAGUAGCCGGUCUGAGAGGAUGAACGGCCACAUUGGGACUGAGACACGGCCCAG